RNA transcript from Cucumis sativus (cucumber), 1197 nucleotides. RefSeq lists it as hypothetical. The transcript is spliced from 5 exons. The record is from RefSeq and is a predicted model, not a curated record. NCBI's taxonomy places the organism in Eukaryota, Viridiplantae, Streptophyta, Magnoliopsida, Cucurbitales, Cucurbitaceae.
UGAAGUCGUAGAGAAAUUGCCCUUACCGCAAAAUCGGAGGAAAAUGUUGAAGAAAAUGAUGGCCGCCUCUGCGGUGGCCCUCCGGAGUGGCACUCGGCCGUCUCUCAUGUUCACUUGCCGCCAUUCCACCUCCGCAUCCUCCGCCGUCAACUCCUUCCUCCUCCGCUCCCUCAAAGAACACUAUCUCGAGAUCACCAGAAUGGCGGCUCCUCCAAAAGUGAGCCCUCCUUCUUCCUUUUCUAUCAUAGUAGGCGCAUUAGACGGCAAUGGACCGGUGCUUACUAAGAACUACGGGAAAGAAGAGAUUAACAUUUCGGUUAUGCGAUUGGCUAAUAUUGUUCGGGGAGGUGGUGGAGGCGACGACGAUGAUGAAAUUAACCAGUUGUUUCUGCAUGUGACUGUAUCGAAGCUGGAGCAGAAGGAUAAUUUGCAUUUUCUUUGUGGGUUGUAUCCUGAUGCCUUAGGUAUUCAUUCCGUUUCGAUGAGACCGAAAGCCGAAUCUUCGGGGUCGGGGUUUCUCGUUGUUCCGUCCAGCUAUAAUGGUCCUACAUUCGAAGAUCUGGAUGAGAAAAUGCGAGAUAUGUUUCACAAUUAUAUAGAAGAGCGAGGUGUGAAUGAGUCCCUCUUUCCAUUUCUUCAAGCAUGGCUUUAUGUGAAAGAACAUCGAAAUCUUUUGCGGUGGUUCAGAUCAGUUGGCACAUUCAUCUACGAGCCCAAGAAUGGUAAAAAGGAUUGAUAGUUAACUGGAUAGAAAAACUGUUAGUCUGGAUGCUUUGAUUUUGUGGAAUUCAGGGUUCCAUCUUCAAAAUUGGUUAUAGGUGGUGUAUCAGCGGCUUGUCGAGCAUUUGACUAACUCACACCAUCCAUGUCAAAUGGGAUUUGUCUCGUGGACACACAAGCAAUCCAACCUGUUAUUGUUGACGAAUUCCAGCUAACAAGGCUUUGGAUGUGGAGAAAAUUUCUUUGACCAAACUUUUAUUGACUCUAGUUGAAACUGUUUCGACCGCUGAGAUACAUCCUCCUACGAGUCUUCAUUAGGAAUCAAUUGGGCAAAUACCUCAGACGCGAGAGCAGGACAAGGUAUAUCUAAGGAUGAGAUUAGAUGUAAAUAUCGAAUACGAGAAAGAAAAUAAUCAAAUAAUCCAAUGGUUCAAACAAACUUUUUAACAAAAUUCAUAUAGAAAAAUAAGAUUUUUU